Molecule: ribosomal RNA, 497 nt
Filed under: uncultured bacterium
Lineage: Bacteria
Description: partial 16S ribosomal RNA
Rfam family: Bacterial small subunit ribosomal RNA
Source: RNAcentral
GAUGAACGCUGGCGGCGUGCCUAAUACAUGCAAGUCGAGCGAACAGAUGAGGAGCUUGCUCCUCUGACGUUAGCGGCGGACGGGUGAGUAACACGUGGAUAACCUACCUAUAAGACUGGGAUAACUUCGGGAAACCGGAGCUAAUACCGGAUAAUAUAUUGAGCCGCAUGGUUCAAUAGUGAAAGACGGUUUUGCUGUCACUUAUAGAUGGAUCCGCGCCGCAUUAGCUAGUUGGUAAGGUAACGGCUUACCAAGGCAACGAUGCGUAGCCGACCUGAGAGGGUGAUCGGCCACACUGGAACUGAGACACGGUCCAGACUCCUACAGGAGGCAGCAGUAGGGAAUCUUCCGCAAUGGGCGAAAGCCUGACGGAGCAACGCCGCGUGAGUGAUGAAGGUCUUCGGAUCGUAAAACUCUGUUAUUAGGGAAGAACAAAUGUGUAAGUAACUAUGCACGUCUUGACGGUACCUAAUCAGAAAGCCACGGCUAACUACGUG